GAUGAACGCUAGCGACAGGCCUAACACAUGCAAGUCGAGGGGCAGCACAUGAGUAGCAAUACGAUGGUGGCGACCGGCGCACGGGUGAGUAACACGUAUGCAACCUGCCUGUAAGAGGGGGAUAACCCGGAGAAAUUCGGACUAAUACCGCAUAAUACCACGAGACUGCAUGGUUUUGUGGUUAAACAUUUAUGGCUUACAGAUGGGCAUGCGUAUGAUUAGAUAGUUGGUAGGGUAACGGCCUACCAAGUCUACGAUCAUUAGGGGUUCUGAGAGGAAGGUCCCCCACACUGGUACUGAGACACGGACCAGACUCCUACGGGAGGCAGCAGUGAGGAAUAUUGGUCAAUGGGCGAGAGCCUGAACCAGCCAAGUCGCGUGAAGGAAGAAGGUUCUAUGGAUUGUAAACUUCUUUUGCAGGGGAAUAAAGGACGGUACGUGUACUGUUUUGUAUGUACCUUGCGAAUAAGGAUCGGCUAACUCCGUGCCCAGCAGCCGUAC
This 501-nucleotide ribosomal RNA is filed under the name uncultured bacterium. RNAcentral's name for it is "bacterial SSU rRNA". It matches the Rfam family "Bacterial small subunit ribosomal RNA", at positions 28 to 520 of the family's 1533-position model. The record is from RNAcentral.